Molecule: non-coding RNA, 1233 nt
Organism: Manis javanica (Malayan pangolin)
Lineage: Eukaryota; Metazoa; Chordata; Mammalia; Pholidota; Manidae
Source: RefSeq, a predicted model, not a curated record
UAAAAAGAGGUGAUAUGGGUGGGGCCCAAUCCAAUAUGACUGAUGUCUUUAUAAGAAGAGGCAAUUAGGACACAAAACAGAGGAAGACCAUAUGAAGCCUCUGAGAGAAGUGAGCUACCUACAAAACAAUGAGAGAGACCCACAGAGAAACUCAACCAUGAUGACACCUUGAUGUUGGCCUUCUAGCCUUCAGGAUAGUGAGCAAGUAGCACUGCAUCUCAAGUUUGUGGUUUCUCCUAGGCCCACAGACCCUGGCAUGGCUUCUGUGCGUGCUCCUUGUCUACCAGAAAUCUGGCUGCUGCCCUCUGGGUGCUGUACUUGGGCUGCUUCCCUCUGGCAGCAUACCCAGGGAGCCAGCCACAGAGAAGGGGGUGGCGGUGUUUGUCAAGUGGGUGUCACACAUACAGAAGGAUUGUUUUUCUUCUUUAGGCCAGAAAUCCAGGCACAGCUCAACAUAGUCCUCGCCUCAGGAUUUCACCAGGCUGCAGUCAAGGUGUUGGCUGGUUGACAUUCUCUCAUCUGGAGGCUCACUGGGCAAGAUUCUGCUUUCAGUCUUACUCAGGUUGUUUGGAAGAAUUCAUAUCCCUGUGGUGGUAUGACUGUGGGCUAUCGUUUCUUACUGGCUGUCAGGUGGAGGCUACUCUAAGGGCUCAGAGGCUGCCCACAGUCUGUUGCAACCUCUCCAUAGAACCCUCUCACAACAUUACUUCAGGGUGAGCAGCAGAAUCUCUCACUCCAGUCUGCAGAAGGGUCUUAUAUAAGAUAAUGUGAUCAAGUGUGACAUCCCAUCAUAUUUACCUUACAAAGAAACUUAAUCCAGGGAGUCACAUCUCAUCACCUUUGCCAUAAUCUAUUGGGUAUUAGCAAAUUCUAAAAUCCCCUUUUCCUGAAGGGUAAGGGAUUUUGCAAGUACUUGAGCCAUUGGUUGCUACCUUCAAUUGUGCGUGUCACAUUAUAUCAUAGUUUGGGAGAAUAUAAAAUAAUCAAAAUACAUAUUUUUGUAUAUAAUUGCGAUGUCUUUCUAAACUUCAAAGUAUUAUUCAAAUCUAAGAAGGCAUUAACUUUUGAUAGACUAUUCUAAGUGAGAUUUAUUUUAGUAGUACUGACCCAAAAGCCUAAAAAGACCUUCAAUCAUCAAAGAAUUCUCUGAUACAUGUAUGUAUGGAUAGAUAUAGAUAGAUAGAUAGAAAGAUGAUAGAUAGAUAGAUAGAUAGAUAGAUAGAUAGAUAGAUA